AUUGAACGCUGGCGGCAGGCUUAACACAUGCAAGUCGAGCGGGGUGAUGGUGCUUGCACUAUCACUUAGCGGCGGACGGGUGAGUAAUGCUUAGGAAUCUGCCUAUUAGUGGGGGACAACAUCUCGAAAGGGAUGCUAAUACCGCAUACGUCCUACGGGAGAAAGCAGGGGAUCACUUGUGACCUUGCGCUAAUAGAUGAGCCUAAGUCGGAUUAGCUAGUUGGUGGGGUAAAGGCCUACCAAGGCGACGAUCUGGAGCGGGUCUGAGAGGAAGCUCCGCGACACUGGGACGGAGACACGGCCCAGGCUCCUACGGGAGGAAGACGUGGGGCAUAUUGGACAAUGGGGGGGACCCUGAUCCAGCCAUGCCGCGUGUGUGAAGAAGGCCUUAUAGUUGUAAAGCACUUUAAGCGAGGAGGAGGCUAUUUUGGUUAAUACCCAAGAUGAGUGGACGUUACUCGCAGAAUAAGCACCGGCUAACUCUGUGCCAGCCGCCGCGGUAA
This 503-nucleotide ribosomal RNA is filed under the name uncultured bacterium. RNAcentral's name for it is "partial 16S ribosomal RNA". It matches the Rfam family "Bacterial small subunit ribosomal RNA", at positions 30 to 523 of the family's 1533-position model. The record is from RNAcentral.